AACGAACGCUGGCGGCAUGCCUAACACAUGCAAGUCGAACGAGACCUUCGGGUCUAGUGGCGCACGGGUGCGAAACGCGUGGGAACCUGCCCUUAGGUUCGGAAUAACUCCCCGAAAGGGGUGCUAAUACCGGAUAAUGUCUUCGGACCAAAGAUUUAUCGCCCUUGGAUGGGCCCGCGUUUGAUUAGCUAGUUGGUAGGGUAAAAGCCUACCAAGGCGACGAUCCAUAGCUGGUCUGAGAGGAUGAUCAGCCACACUGGGACUGAGACACGGCCCAGACUCCUACGGGAGGCAGCAGUGGGGAAUAUUGGACAAGGGGCGAAAGCCUGAUCCAGCAAUGCCGCGUGAGUGAUGAAGGCCUUAGGGUUGUAAAGCUCUUUUACCCGGGAUGAUAAUGACAGUACCGGGAGAAUAAGCUCCGGCUAACUCCGUG
Molecule: ribosomal RNA, 433 nt
Filed under: uncultured bacterium
Lineage: Bacteria
Description: partial 16S ribosomal RNA
Rfam family: Bacterial small subunit ribosomal RNA
Source: RNAcentral